Molecule: ribosomal RNA, 311 nt
Filed under: Photobacterium kishitanii
Lineage: Bacteria; Pseudomonadati; Pseudomonadota; Gammaproteobacteria; Vibrionales; Vibrionaceae
Description: bacterial LSU rRNA
Rfam family: Bacterial large subunit ribosomal RNA
Source: RNAcentral
GUUGUAUGGUUAAGUGACUAAGCGUACACGGUGGAUGCUUGGCAGUCAGAGGCGAUGAAGGACGUAUUAACUUGCGAUAAGCCCAGAUUAGGCAGUAAAAGCCACUUGAGUCUGGGAUUUCCGAAUGGGGAAACCCACUAGCAUAAGCUAGUAUCAUUAACUGAAUACAUAGGUUAAUGAAGCGAACCGGGGGAACUGAAACAUCUAAGUACCCCGAGGAAGAGAAAUCAACCGAGAUUCCGGUAGUAGCGGCGAGCGAAACCGGAUUAGCCCUUAAGUUAGUUCUGCGUUAGGUGAAGGUUCUGGAAAGU